This 370-nucleotide ribosomal RNA is filed under the name uncultured bacterium. RNAcentral describes it as "bacterial SSU rRNA". It matches the Rfam family "Bacterial small subunit ribosomal RNA", at positions 527 to 896 of the family's 1533-position model. The record is from RNAcentral.
GUAGGGUGCGAGCGUUAAUCGGAAUUACUGGGCGUAAAGCGUGCGCAGGCGGUUUUAUAAGCCAGAUGUGAAAGCCCCGGGCUCAACCUGGGAACGGCAUUUGGGACUGUAAAGCUGGAGUAUGGCAGAGGAGACUAGAAUUCCUGGUGUAGCAGUGAAAUGCGUAGAUAUCAGGAGGAAUACCGAUGGCGAAGGCAGGUCUCUGGGCCAAUACUGACGCUCAUGCACGAAAGCGUGGGGAGCAAACAGGAUUAGAUACCCUGGUAGUCCACGCCCUAAACGAUGUCAACUGGUUGUUGGGGGAUUUAUUCUCUUAGUAACGAAGCUAACGCGUGAAGUUGACCGCCUGGGGAGUCCGGUCGCAAGAUUA